This 391-nucleotide long non-coding RNA is filed under the name Equus asinus (donkey). RNAcentral's name for it is "lncRNA (ENSEASG00005037344.1)". The record is from RNAcentral. Lineage: Eukaryota; Metazoa; Chordata; Mammalia; Perissodactyla; Equidae.
CACGCACUCUUCCCCCACACCUGCACUGGUGCACCCUUCCCGGAGGCUGAGAAGACGGAGCGGUGUGUUUCUGGAGGCCCACCUGCUCUUCCCUCCUCUACACAAUGCAGACAGCCUGGCAACUAGAUACUGAUUUGGGGAAACCAGAAAACGGUCCUCGAAAAAUUAACAGUGUGGCUAUGAGGGAACUGAAGCCUGAGAAAAUUCUAUUAUUGCCCAGGAGGUGCUCACUGGUUUGACCUAAAGAAAGAUAAGACUUGUAGAGAAUAUGACAAUUCUUAACACAUGACUCAGUAAAUAUUUGUCAAAGGAAUGAAGAGUUCUAUUCUCCUAAGAGGGUUAAAACUCCUCCUUUCUCACAAAUUUGCUUGUGCCACUACCAUUUUUUAAG